This 426-nucleotide ribosomal RNA is filed under the name uncultured bacterium. Its description in RNAcentral is "bacterial SSU rRNA". It matches the Rfam family "Bacterial small subunit ribosomal RNA", at positions 47 to 446 of the family's 1533-position model. The record is from RNAcentral.
CCUAACACAUGCAAGUCGAGCGCAGGAAGCAAGCUGAUCCCCUUACGGGGGUGACGCUCGUGGAACGAGCGGCGGACGGGUGAGUAACACGUGGGCAACCUGCCUGUAAGACUGGGAUAACCCCGGGAAACCGGGGCUAAUACCGGAUAAUACUUUCUUUUGCAUAAAGGAAAGUUGAAAGGCGGCUUCGGCUGUCACUUACAGAUGGGCCCGCGGCGCAUUAGCUAGUUGGUGAGGUAACGGCUCACCAAGGCGACGAUGCGUAGCCGACCUGAGAGGGUGAUCGGCCACACUGGGACUGAGACACGGCCCAGACUCCUACGGGAGGCAGCAGUAGGGAAUCUUCCGCAAUGGACGAAAGUCUGACGGAGCAACGCCGCGUGAAUGAUGAAGGUUUUCGGAUCGUAAAACUCUGUUGUUAGGGAA